This 203-nucleotide ribosomal RNA is filed under the name uncultured bacterium. RNAcentral describes it as "partial 16S ribosomal RNA". It matches the Rfam family "Bacterial small subunit ribosomal RNA", at positions 524 to 724 of the family's 1533-position model. The record is from RNAcentral.
UACGUAGGGUGCGAGCGUUAAUCGGAAUUACUGGGCGUAAAGCGUGCGCAGGCGGUUUUGUAAGUCAGAUGUGAAAUCCCCGGGCUCAACCUGGGAACUGCAUUUGUGACUGUAUAAGCUAGAGUACGGCGAGAGGGGAGUGGAAUUCCGCGUGUAGCAGUGAAAUGCGUAGAUAUGCGGAGGAACACCGAUGGCGAAGGCAA